UGCGUAGGGGGCGAGCGUUGUCCGGAGUUACUGGGCGUAAAGGGCACGCAGGCGGUGCGGCGCGUUUCGCGUGACAGCGGAGGGCUUAACUCUCCGAGGAUGCGAAAGACGGCGGCACUUGAGGGCCAGAGAGGGACACGGAAUUCCGGGUGGAGUGGUGAAAUGCGUAGAGAUCCGGAGGAACACCGAAGGCGAAGGCAGUGUCCUGGCUGGUGACUGACGCUGAGGUGCGAAAGCUAGGGGAGCGAACGGG
RNAcentral lists this ribosomal RNA (253 nucleotides) under uncultured bacterium. RNAcentral describes it as "partial 16S ribosomal RNA". It matches the Rfam family "Bacterial small subunit ribosomal RNA", at positions 524 to 776 of the family's 1533-position model. The record is from RNAcentral.